RNAcentral lists this ribosomal RNA (264 nucleotides) under uncultured bacterium. Its description in RNAcentral is "partial 16S ribosomal RNA". It matches the Rfam family "Bacterial small subunit ribosomal RNA", at positions 90 to 354 of the family's 1533-position model. The record is from RNAcentral.
UCUUAGUGGCGGACGGGUGAGUAACGCGUGGGUAACCUGCCCUGUACAGGGGGAUAACACUUAGAAAUAGGUGCUAAAACCGCAUAAGCGCACAGUACCGCAUGGUACAGUGUGAAAAACUCCGGUGGUACAGGAUGGACCCGCGUCUGAUUAGCUGGUUGGAGGGGUAACGGCCCACCAAGGCGACGAUCAGCAGCCGGCCUGAGAGGGUGAACGGCCACAUUGGGACUGAGACACGGCCCAAACUCCUACGGAAGGCAGCAG